This 860-nucleotide long non-coding RNA is filed under the name Setaria viridis. Its description in RNAcentral is "long non-coding RNA (SVIR_LNC001611)". The record is from RNAcentral. Lineage: Eukaryota; Viridiplantae; Streptophyta; Magnoliopsida; Poales; Poaceae.
CCUCCUGCGCAUUGCUGCGCAUGAGCGGCGGCCCAUGGCUGGGAUGACGCGCGCACGACGGCCUCCCGCGAACACAUGGCCGGGACGGCCGCGGCCUCCCACGGAGGAGACAAAGGGUAGCUAGGGCGAGUGGCGCGGAGGGCAACUCAAGCGGCGGCGAGCUAGUCCGAUGCUUGCUGGCGGCGAUGGGCGGAGGGAGGCGGCUGAUGGCGCCGGACGGUGAGGAGUUGAAGAGGUAGAUCAUGCGGCCAAGAAAUUAUGAGGCUAGCAGAUCCUACGGUCAGAGAGAGAAAGGAAGAAAGGGAGAAGGAAAGGGAGAUGGGUGAAUUGCCCUUUGUAAAGGGAGGGGGAAGAGAGGGGAUUGAGAAAAAAUAAAGGAAAAAGUGAAAUAGAAAGGGAAUCUGCUGGAGCUUCACUAAGUCCCUUUUACGGUUGAAAAGAGAAAAGGGGAAAAGAGAAAAGUGGAAAGUGGAUCUGCUACAGAUGCUCUUACAUUAUUACUAAUUUUUGUUAGGGUACUUGCAAGUGUGUAAUUUGAAAGGGUUUUUUUGGCUAAUUUCGUAAAUUGUUGGAGAUACAAAUCAACCCCAAAGAUAAAAAAAAAUUAGAAAUAUAGUAACAAAAAUGGAAAAGGUUAUGAAAAGAUAAGAUACAGCAGCUCGUGGGCCUAAGGGCCUGUUUGGGAAGGGGGUGUUAAAGUUUAACACCCCCCUUUUAACACCUUUUUAACAAAAUGGCUGCCAAACACUUGUGUUAAAAUAGUAGUGUUAAAGUUUAACACCUCUUUUUUCAUAAACACAUGGAUGGGGUGUUAAAAUUUGCUAAAGGUGUUAAAAGUGGUCUCCCUCCCCACUUAUUCC